UACGUAGGGGGCUAGCGUUGUCCGGAAUCAUUGGGCGUAAAGAGCGUGUAGGCGGCCCGGUAAGUCCGCUGUAAAAGUCAAAGGCUCAACCUUUGAAUGUCAGUGGAUACUGCCGGGCUAGAGUCCGGAAGAGGCGAGUGGAACUCCUGGUGUAGCGGUGGAAUGCGCAGAUAUCAGGAAGAACACCAACGGGCGAAGGCAGCUCG
This 206-nucleotide ribosomal RNA is filed under the name uncultured bacterium. Its description in RNAcentral is "partial 16S ribosomal RNA". It matches the Rfam family "Bacterial small subunit ribosomal RNA", at positions 524 to 728 of the family's 1533-position model. The record is from RNAcentral.